This 101-nucleotide small nucleolar RNA is filed under the name Chlamydomonas reinhardtii. Its description in RNAcentral is "CrCD17b snoRNA". Lineage: Eukaryota; Viridiplantae; Chlorophyta; Chlorophyceae; Chlamydomonadales; Chlamydomonadaceae. The record is from RNAcentral.
CGUCCGCUGAUGAUCUUCUUUCAAUCAUCCUUAUCUACAUUGCCUGAUCCGCCCCGCUCGACACGGGACUGCGGUGCUGACAACAUAUUGAUCUGAGGACG